This 350-nucleotide ribosomal RNA is filed under the name uncultured bacterium. RNAcentral's name for it is "bacterial SSU rRNA". It matches the Rfam family "Bacterial small subunit ribosomal RNA", at positions 8 to 354 of the family's 1533-position model. The record is from RNAcentral.
AGAGUUUGAUCAUGGCUCAGAUUGAACGCUGGCGGCAUGCCUAACACAUGCAAGUCGAACGGCAGCACAGCAGAGCUUGCUCUGUGGGUGGCGAGCGGCGGACGGGUGAGUAAUGCCUGGGAAAUUGCCCAGUCGAGGGGGAUAACAGUUGGAAACGACUGCUAAUACCGCAUACGCCCUACGGGGGAAAGCAGGGGACCUUCGGGCCUUGCGCGAUUGGAUAUGCCCAGGUGGGAUUAGCUUGUUGGUGAGGUAAUGGCUCACCAAGGCGACGAUCCCUAGCUGGUCUGAGAGGAUGAUCAGCCACACUGGAACUGAGACACGGUCCAGACUCCUACGGGACGCAGCAG